UGGGGAAUAUUGGACAAUGGGCGCAAGCCUGAUCCAGCCAUGCCGCGUGAGUGACGAAGGUCUUCGGAUUGUAAAGCUCUUUUUAGCAGGGAAGAUAAUGACGGUACCUGCAGAAUAAGCCCCGGCUAACUUCGUGCCAGCAGCCGCGGUAAUACAGAGGGUGCAAGCGUUAAUCGGAAUUACUGGGCGUAAAGCGCGCGUAGGUGGUUUGUUAAGUUGGAUGUGAAAUCCCCGGGCUCAACCUGGGAACUGCAUUCAAAACUGACGACCUGGACUUAAGUAGAGGCAAGUGGAAUUGCGAGUGUAGAGGUGAAAUUCGUAGAUAUUCGCAGGAACACCAGUGGCGAAGGCGACUUGCUGGACUUAUGGUGACGCUGAGACGCGAAAGCGUGGGGAGCAAACAGGAUUAGAUACCCGCGUAGUCCCUGAGCGGGCUGGCAAGGCGCAU
This 448-nucleotide ribosomal RNA is filed under the name uncultured bacterium. Its description in RNAcentral is "bacterial SSU rRNA". It matches the Rfam family "Bacterial small subunit ribosomal RNA", at positions 355 to 825 of the family's 1533-position model. The record is from RNAcentral.